CAUCCUCCUUAUUUUAGGAUUGUACAACGUGUGGGAUAUUCAAGGCCCUUGGUCUCAAAGUAAGAGACAAAAUCUGAUUUUUUUUCCUGCUGAAUACUAAAAUAACAUUGUUUUUCUAAAAAGAGCGUUCUUAAAAAAACGUUGAGGUCGCUUUAAACAACGUUAAAAUGUGGAAUUAUCAGAUUUGGUUCGGAACUGUGAUAUUUUAAAUUCUGACGAUAUAUAAACAAAAAGAUCUGUAACCCCCCCUUCUAUCUCUCUGUCUCCCAUCUCAACGAUCAUAUUUUCAUUUUGUAUGUUCAAUCGAGCAUCAUGCUUUUCCAUAUUUUGCGGCCUUCAACCAAUCCUAUUUUUAUUCACGUGUAAUAACAUUAACAAAAUUAUUGAAUCUUCUGAAACAUGAUCUGGAACUAUCUCUCUUUAAAAUAAUUUGUCUUUUAAAGUGUAGGAAUCUUUUUUAUCAUCCACUCACUAAUAAGCUUCAACGAGUUAUUAAAAAUAUGUUUCCCCAAUGCCCAUUGACCGUGAUUGUUUAAUAUAAUCAUAACUCUGAAUUUUGAAGUGAACACUAUACGAUGUAUACGAGAAACCACCUGUAUUACUCUAUAUCAAUAUGUCAUGGCGGUUUUUGUCACUAAAUGUAUAAUGUACAUUCCCUAAAUUAUUUUUUUUAGAAAACCUUGCCACUCAAUUUUAUUUUUAAGAAAAUCAAAAAUUAACAUUUAUGCCAGACAUCAAAAGGAUUAACCUUGUAUGAACAAGGAUUUAAAAUUGACAGUUUUUAAAUUACAUUUUUACCUGAUAUUAAAUUGUGCAGCUUGCUUAAAGGGACUGUAAGCGUAAUUUUAAGUGAUCCUUCAUGCCAAGUGGGAAGUGGGAAAUGCCUGGUUCACAACGGUACACUUAAAAUCUUUCUGUGUUCAUCGGGUCCAGAAAUAUGUUUGUGAUAAAUCCGUUUGUGUAAGCAGCUGAAAAUUCCGGUGUGCACUGCGUACAGUCUGAACUCAACGCACAGCGGAAUUUGCAGCGGAUCAUACAAGCGGAUUCAGAUACGUUAACACACACGUCUCUGUACUCGACUAACACAGGAAGGUUUUUAGGAUACCGUUGUUAAUCGGGCAGUCCUUUCUACGCGUGGAGGGUCACUUGAAACUUCGCUUACAGUCCCUUUCAUACAUUAUAAUAUAUACGGGAAACCUACCCGUCUUAUACCUUCUGUGAUACCAGCAGACUAUACUUAUUAACCCCUCUAAACAUAUCUUUUUAGAUGUUAAAUGUUUGAAAUUUGUAUAUUUGUACUUGAAAGGACUGUCAGCGUGCACAUUGUACUAUGUACACCCAUUUGGAGCUUUUCCUUAUUAUAUAAAUGUUAUUCUAUUAAUAUUACAUAAUCCUGAUCUUAUCAAUGAAAGUAACCCCAUGAGGCCCACCUGUCUAAAAACCUUUUAAAGCAUCAUUGCUAAAUUAUCUAUUACCCUUAAACAGUGCCUUCUACCCAACUCAAGGACAGUCGCGCCAUUUUAGCGCAUUUUUUGUGAACAGCUGAUUUUUAUCCAUCAGCUGAUUUGUAGUUAACUACUGACGAUCUUAACUGCACCAUAUUUGGUGGAUUUCUAACCUACAAUUAACUUGAAUAGUUAUUUCAACUGCGUAGACUCCUAAAUUUUCUUAUGGUCGAGAUUAAAUUUCGAAAUAUUCACAAAACGUUGUCUUACUAAUGACAAAAUUGCUUUAACAAUAACAAAUCAUUGAUUUUGUUUGUAUGAAUUAAACUGCCCCCUCCAUGCCUGAAAUAUUUGUUGUCUAUGCCCUUAAUAGAUGUCAAAAUAAAGACUAAUCUUAGUUUCUACGCAUUUCAACGCAUAAAAUAGUUUUUUUUAAAUAUCCUCAAAAAAACGUACUUUAAACUAAACUCAACACCACAAAGUUCUUUACAUUCAUUGGUUAAGAAAAAUAUUUUUGUGUUAUUUCAUAAUUUUUGGGAUUUAUCAUCUGACGCUUUGCGUAUUUCGUUCGCAACUUUAAACCCUCCAGUGACGCAGUGGAUGUUGAGUUCUGAUCCUGAUAACUUGUAUUAGAACCUGUGAUGAAUAUGUAUUAAUUUUAUUCUAGCAAAUAAACUGUCUACUCAUUU
This is a long non-coding RNA of Eurytemora carolleeae, 2134 nucleotides long. RefSeq lists it as uncharacterized. The transcript is spliced from 2 exons. NCBI's taxonomy places the organism in Eukaryota, Metazoa, Arthropoda, Copepoda, Calanoida, Temoridae. The record is from RefSeq and is a predicted model, not a curated record.